Molecule: ribosomal RNA, 460 nt
Filed under: uncultured bacterium
Lineage: Bacteria
Description: partial 16S ribosomal RNA
Rfam family: Bacterial small subunit ribosomal RNA
Source: RNAcentral
CCUACGGGUGGCAGCAGUGAGGAAUAUUGGUCAAUGGGCGCGAGCCUGAUCCAGCCAAGUAGCGUGAAGGAUGACUGCCCUACGGGUUGUAAACUUCUUUUGUAAAGGAAUAAGGUGAGGCACGUGUGCCUUUUUGUAUGUACUUUAUGAGUAAGGAUCGGCUAACUCCGUGCCAGCAGCCGCGGUAAUGCGGUGGGUCCGAGCGUUGUCCGGAUUGAUUGGGUUUAAAGGGAGCGGAGACGGGCUGUUAAGUCAGUUGUGAAAGUUUGCGGCUCAACCGUAAAAGUGCAAUUGAUACUGGCAGUCUUGAGUACAGUAGAGGGAGGCGGAAUUCGUGGUGUAGCGGUGAAAUGCUUAGAUAUCAGGAAGAAUUCUGAUGGCGAAGGCAGCUUACUAAACUGACACUGACAUUGAGGUUCGAAAGUGUGGGUAGCAAACAGGAUUAGAUACCCGGGUAGUC